GACGAACGCUGGCGGUGUGCUUAACACAUGCAAGUCGAACGGAAAGGCCCUGCUUGCAGGGUACUCGAGUGGCGAACGGGUGAGUAACACGUGGGUGAUCUGCCCUGCACUUCGGGAUAAGCCUGGGAAACUGGGUCUAAUACCGGAUAGGAGCCAUUUUUAGUGUGAUGGUUGGAAAGUUUUUUCGGUGUAGGAUGAGCUCGCGGCCUAUCAGCUUGUUGGUGGGGUAAUGGCCUACCAAGGCGGCGACGGGUAGCCGGCCUGAGAGGGUGGACGGCCACAUUGGGACUGAGAUACGGCCCAGACUCCUACGGGAGGCAGCAGUGGGGAAUAUUGCACAAUGGGCGCAAGCCUGAUGCAGCGACGCCGCGUGGGGGAUGACGGCCUUCGGGUUGUAAACUCCUUUCGCUAGGGACGAAGCUUUUUGUGACGGUACCUAGAUAAGAAGCACCGGCUAACUACGUG
RNAcentral lists this ribosomal RNA (465 nucleotides) under uncultured bacterium. Its description in RNAcentral is "partial 16S ribosomal RNA". It matches the Rfam family "Bacterial small subunit ribosomal RNA", at positions 28 to 507 of the family's 1533-position model. The record is from RNAcentral.